AGCUUAGGUAGCUUUAGAGGUUAAAAUGUCCGCCUUGGAGGCGAAAGGUCGCGGGUUCGAAUCCCGACCGAGUCA
Molecule: non-coding RNA, 75 nt
Organism: Potamilus streckersoni
Lineage: Eukaryota; Metazoa; Mollusca; Bivalvia; Unionida; Unionidae
Source: the annotation of a GenBank genome assembly